This 23-nucleotide non-coding RNA is filed under the name Cricetulus griseus (Chinese hamster). Lineage: Eukaryota; Metazoa; Chordata; Mammalia; Rodentia; Cricetidae. The record is from RNAcentral.
UUCAGAUGAUGAGUUAAAACUGU